RNAcentral lists this small RNA (126 nucleotides) under Marmota monax (woodchuck). Lineage: Eukaryota; Metazoa; Chordata; Mammalia; Rodentia; Sciuridae. The record is from RNAcentral.
GCCGGGCAUGGUGGUGCACCCUGUAAUCCCAGCUGCGUGGGAGGCUGAGGCUGGAGGAUCUUGAGUUCAAAGGCACCCUCAGAAAUGUAGUGAGUCCCUAAGCAACUUAGCAAGACCCUGUCUCUA